ACUCAAAUGAAUUGACGGGGGCCCGCACAAGCGGCGGAGCAUGCGGAUUAAUUCGAUGCAACGCGAAGAACCUUACCUGGAUUUGACAUAUGGAGAAAUCUCCUGGAGACAGGAGGUCCGUAAGGGCUCUAUACAGGUGGUGCAUGGCUGUCGUCAGCUCGUGUCGUGAGAUGUUGGGUUAAGUCCCGCAACGAGCGCAACCCUCGUCCUAUGUUGCCAGCAGGUAAAGCUGGGGACUCAUAGGAGACUGCCGGGGUAACUCGGAGGAAGGUGGGGAUGAGGUCAAGUCAUCAUGCCCCUUAUGUCCAGGGCUUCACGCAUGCUACAAUGGCCGGUACAAAGGGCUGCGAAACCGCAAGGUGGAGCGAAUCCCAAAAAGCCGGUCUCAGUUCGGAUUGGGGUCUGCAACUCGACCCCAUGAAGUCGGAGUCGCUAGUAAUCGCAGAUCAGCAACGCUGCGGUGAAUACGUUCCCGGGCCUUGUACACACCGCCCGU
Molecule: ribosomal RNA, 496 nt
Filed under: uncultured bacterium
Lineage: Bacteria
Description: partial 16S ribosomal RNA
Rfam family: Bacterial small subunit ribosomal RNA
Source: RNAcentral